ACGGAAGGCAGCAGUGGGGAAUAUUGCACAAUGGGCGCAAGCCUGAUGCAGCAACGCCGCGUGAGGGAAGACGGUUUUCGGAUUGUAAACCUCUGUCUUUGGUGACGAAGAAGUGACGGUAGCCAAGGAGGAAGCCACGGCUAACUACGUGCCAGCAGCCGCGGUAAUACGUAGGUGGCAAGCGUUAUCCGGAAUUACUGGGUGUAAAGGGAGCGCAGGCGGGUCAGCAAGUCAGCGGUGAAAAUUAUGGGCUCAACCCAUAAACUGCCGUUGAAACUGUUGAUCUUGAGUGGAGUAGAGGCAGGCGGAAUUCCGAGUGUAGCGGUGAAAUGCGUAGAUAUUGGGAGGAACACCAGUGGCGAAGGCGGCUUACUGGGCCUUAACUGACGCUGAGGCACGAAAGUAUGGGGAGCAAACAGGAUUAGAUACCCUGGUA
This 436-nucleotide ribosomal RNA is filed under the name uncultured Clostridium sp. RNAcentral's name for it is "partial 16S ribosomal RNA". It matches the Rfam family "Bacterial small subunit ribosomal RNA", at positions 341 to 792 of the family's 1533-position model. The record is from RNAcentral. Lineage: Bacteria; Bacillati; Bacillota; Clostridia; Eubacteriales; Clostridiaceae.